CCUACGGGAGGCAGCAGUGAGGAAUAUUGGUCAAUGGCCGGAAGGCUGAACCAGCCAUGCCGCGUGAAGGUCAGUGCCCUAUGGGCGUUAAACUUCUUUUGUGCGGGAGCAAUAAUGGUCACGUGUGGCCAGACGAGAGUACCGUACGAAUAAGCAUCGGCCAACUCCGUGCCAGCAGCCGCGGUAAUACGGGGGAUGCAAGCGUUAUCCGGAUUUAUUGGGUUUAAAGGGUGCGUAGGCUGUGAGGUAAGUCAGCGGGGAAAUGCCCCCGCUCAACGGGGUGAAGUGCCAUUGAUACUGCCUUGCUGGAAUGCAGAUGCGGUGGGAGGAAUGUGUGGUGUAGCGGUGAAAUGCAUAGAUAUCACACAGAACACCGAUUGCGAAGGCAUCUCACGAAUCCGCGAUUGACGCUGAUGCACGAAAGCGUGGGUAUCAAACAGGAUUAGAUACCCUUGUAGUC
Molecule: ribosomal RNA, 460 nt
Filed under: uncultured bacterium
Lineage: Bacteria
Description: partial 16S ribosomal RNA
Rfam family: Bacterial small subunit ribosomal RNA
Source: RNAcentral